UCCUCAUUCUCAAGGCACUGUUUCUGCAUC
RNAcentral lists this non-coding RNA (30 nucleotides) under Mus musculus (house mouse). The record is from RNAcentral. Lineage: Eukaryota; Metazoa; Chordata; Mammalia; Rodentia; Muridae.